GCGACCUCAGGAUGGGCGAGGCCACCCGCCGAGUUUAAG
Molecule: ribosomal RNA, 39 nt
Filed under: Systeloglossum bennettii
Lineage: Eukaryota; Viridiplantae; Streptophyta; Magnoliopsida; Asparagales; Orchidaceae
Description: partial 26S ribosomal RNA
Source: RNAcentral